AAGGGUAUAGCUCAAGUGGUAGAGCGCGUGCUUAGCACGCACGAGGUCCUGGGUUCAAUCCCCAGUACCUCCA
RNAcentral lists this transfer RNA (73 nucleotides) under Camelus bactrianus (Bactrian camel). It matches the Rfam family "tRNA". From Rfam's summary of the family: Transfer RNA (tRNA) molecules are approximately 80 nucleotides in length. Their secondary structure includes four short double-helical elements and three loops (D, anti-codon, and T loops). Further hydrogen bonds mediate the characteristic L-shaped molecular structure. tRNAs have two regions of fundamental functional importance: the anti-codon, which is responsible for specific mRNA codon recognition, and the 3' end, to which the tRNAs corresponding amino acid is attached (by aminoacyl-tRNA synthetases). tRNAs cope with the degeneracy of the genetic code in two manners: having more than one tRNA (with a specific anti-codon) for a particular amino acid; and 'wobble' base-pairing, i.e. permitting non-standard base-pairing at the 3rd anti-codon position. Lineage: Eukaryota; Metazoa; Chordata; Mammalia; Artiodactyla; Camelidae. The record is from Rfam by way of RNAcentral. RNAcentral also lists the same sequence under 2 other names.